UGGGGAAUACUGCACAAUGGGCGAAAGCCUGAUGCAGCGACGCCGCGUGUGGGAUGACGGCCUUCGGGUUGUAAAUCACUUUCAGCAGGGAAGAAGCUUUUUGUGACGGUACCUGCAGAAGAAGCGCCGGCUAACUACGUGUCAGCAGCCGCGGUAAUACGUAGGGCGCGAGCGUUAUCCGGAAUUAUUGGGCGUAAAGAGCUCGUAGGCGGUUUGUCGCGUCUGCUGUGAAAGCCCGGGGCUCAACCCCGGGUGUGCAGUGGGUACGGGCAGACUAGAGUGCAGUAGGGGAGACUGGAAUUCCUGGUGUAGCGGUGAAAUGCGCAGAUAUCAGGAGGAACACCGAUGGCGAAGGCAGGUCUCUGGGCUGUUACUGACGCUGAGGAGCGAAAGCAUGGGGAGCGAACAG
This 409-nucleotide ribosomal RNA is filed under the name uncultured bacterium. RNAcentral describes it as "bacterial SSU rRNA". It matches the Rfam family "Bacterial small subunit ribosomal RNA", at positions 355 to 775 of the family's 1533-position model. The record is from RNAcentral.